Apis laboriosa (Himalayan honeybee) is the source of this 5308-nucleotide RNA transcript. RefSeq lists it as uncharacterized. NCBI's taxonomy places the organism in Eukaryota, Metazoa, Arthropoda, Insecta, Hymenoptera, Apidae. The transcript is spliced from 14 exons. The record is from RefSeq and is a predicted model, not a curated record.
UAUUCAAUGUAUCUUAUCUUCUAUUUUCGUCAUAUGUAUAUAAAAGAUCAAGUUUGGAAAGUGGUGCCCUCUGUUUCAAACAGUUUGGAAUAUUGUCAGCGAGCAGGCGCUGGACCGCUUUCUGAGGCUGCGUGUGGGAUAAAGAGCGAAAGACAGAGAAAGAUCGCGAUUCAAACUCGAAAUCUAACGAGGAACUCUCAGAGCCACGCGAGUGGCCGCGCGAUACGGCACGGGUGUUUGAAAACGGCCGAUAACAGUGUGCAUCGCGCCAUGUGUACGAAGAAAAGUGCGAAUUUGCUGUGGCUUCUUUAUUCCAUAUUGUUCAUUUGUGGAUUUGUUCUGCCAUACGGACGCUGCCAAAACGCGGAUCCGCGAGAACAAUUCGAUAACAGGGAUGACGCGAGGAAAAUAGACGAUCUGCGCGAUGAACUGCAGGCUGACGAUGCGGAUCAGUCGUAUGUCUGGGAUGCGUCUCUCGAGGGUAAAAAGACGCUCGAUGAGAACGGGAGCUCCCUCUCGUCUCGAAACGCGGCAGAGGUGUCGGAGACGGAAGUGGAAACAGCGCCUCGGGCAGACGGAAAUAGGGACAAGGUCCUCGUUCCACCAGGAGGUGUUUCCAACUCAUCGUUUCGGCCGGGUCUGAAUGUCACAGCCUCGACAUCGAUCACUCGUCGAAAGGGCGACGGCGGUGACAGAUCCCGGAAGAAACGUCGCAGGAACAAAGAUUCGAAGAGCGGAAACACAGAGGUGGAUCGUGAACGAGACGGCACCCAGGAGAACGAGAUCAGGGGAAAGCGAAACGGGCAGACGAAGAAGCCUAAAGAUUCCGCGGCGAGGAGGUAUCGCGCGGAGCGUCGCAGGAGGAGGAAGAAUCGCGAGCGGAAACGCGGGAGGAAGAGGGCGAGGAACGGCGAGAAGAACGGCGAGAAGAACGGCGAGGCGCGUCGAGCGUCCAAGUUCAAGAGGAGGAUGAACGACGCGCCCGCGGCGCUGCUUCUCGGCAAGAUCGAUGGCCACGUGGUGGACGACACGAACGUGACUUCGAGAGGUAACCAAACGCGCUCGAGCGGCACCGAUGUUACGUCACCGUCCAAUCUUCAGGAUCAAUUAACCACCGAGGCUACGAAGAGAUCCGCGCAGACCACGUCGCGUUACAACAUGUACGAGGACACCGUGGAGAGAGAAUUUUCGAAACAGCUCGAGAAAGAGAUCUCGCGGACCCAGAUGGAGGAUCCUGCCAGCUUGGAGAACCGUAUCCUGGGCAGCUCUGUGCCCAAGUCAUCGCGGAAAAAUUGGGGUCGAAAACAGGUGGAGGAGGAGGAGGAGGAGGAGGAGGAGGAGGAGAAGGUGGCGAAGAAGGGUGGUAACACGAACGAGGCGAAGUUCGGCAACUCUAGGUACGACGCUGAGAAGAUGUUGGGCUACUCGAGGACCGAGGAGGAUCUGCCCAUUCUGGAUUUGGAGAACGAGGUCCUGGCGAGGACGUUGAAGGAUUACAACGCGUACAUGACGUCGAGUUUGAGAUUGUCGAUGGUGGCGAGGCGGGACGAGGUCGAGCGGAGGAGGACAGGCGGAUCGCAUUUUCAUGGAAAGCCCAUAAUCGACGAGGCAGAGUUGGACAGGUUGGGUGGAAAGAAGAGUAUGGAAUGGGCGAGCAGCACGGUGGCGUACGAGGACGAUACGAAGGGGGAUUUAUCUUGCAUAAACGGGACGUUCGUGCCGGCACCCCUUGCCCGGCAUGCGCUGAUCAAAUAUGUAAAAUCAUCGAUACCAGGCCACGAAUAUUUGGAAGCCGAUUACGAAUGUGCCCCAGGAUUCUAUAUGGUGAGCACAACAAACAGAUUGUUAUGCAGAAAUCGUCAAUGGAUGGGACAACUACCAAAGUGCAAGAUCAAAGCGAAUUUUGAAGGUGCGUGCAUCGACGCUUCCUGCGAUCACGUUUGCAAAGAAGUCGAUGGCAGACCGGUGUGUUCCUGUUACAAAGGUUUCCGGUUGGAGAAUGAUAAAUGUAUGGAUGUGAACGAAUGCAAGGAUAACAAGGGAGGUUGCGAACAUAAAUGUGUGAACAUCCCGGGAUCCUUUCGUUGUGAGUGCCCAAAGGGGAUGAAACUAGACGAGGACAGGUUCACAUGCAAGGAUAUCAAUGAGUGUCUGUUGAACAACGGGCACGGGCCUUGUCAGGAUACGUGUCGGAACACCAUAGGCGGCUAUGAAUGUUCCUGCGACAGUCUACAGGACACCGUACUGUCAGCCGACAACCACACGUGUCAGACAGCGGGUCCCUGUAGCGUCAACAACGCGGGAUGCUCCCACACCUGUCUCUCCACCAUGGGACGAGUAUUUUGUCUCUGUCCCGAUGGUUUCAUCCUGGAGGACGACUGGAAAACCUGUCAAGACGUGGACGAGUGCGCCCAGCCAGAUUUGCAAACGGAGAUGUGUCGGUACGGUUGUAUCAACACACCAGGAUCUUAUCGAUGCGCCGAGCCAAUGGAGUUGAAGGAUCAACCGAUACUGGACAGCUUGUCCAUCACGUGCCUGCCGGGCUACGAAGCCACCCCCGAUGGAACUUGUAUCGAUAUCAAUGAGUGUACGGUUGACAACGGUGGGUGCACAGAAGUCUGCGAAAAUACGGAUGGGAGUUUCUUCUGCGCCUGUGACGGUGACGAGAAAGCUCUAUCGUCGGAUGGCAAGUCUUGCGUGGAUAUAAAUAAUGUAUCCUGCCCACCAUUGAAUCCGGAGGGUCGAGGAUAUUUAAUGUGUUCACGUUUAGCUACUCCAAAGCCAUGGAGAGGUAGACGAAGAGUGGCCAAUCGACCAGGUACCAAAUGUUUCUUGAAGUGUCCCCAUGGGUAUCAACUUCACGGAGAAUACGAAUUGACUUGUAGAUCGGAUGGUUCGUGGGACGGCCCAAAACACGGCGAGUGUGUCAGAUACAGCAAGCCUCGUUUAGAGUGCCCGAAAGAUGUGGUCGCGGAACUGCCACCAGGAAGAGACGAGGCCUUCGUGACGUUCGAUCAACCCUCGACAGAUCUCGAUUGGUUCCGGUACGUUCGAUCGAAACCCUCCUGGGGGACCAGGCUGGAGGCUAAUCUAACCCCGGGUGUGCAUGAGAUCACGUUCUUCGCGAGACACCCGGUAUCGAAGAAGCAAGCUAGCUGCGUGUUGCGCAUCAUUGUCAAAGGAGGGGAGGCGCCAAAAGUUAAAGACUGUCCGAACGACAUAGAGGUCACGGGGAGAAAUGGGACAGCGAUUACGUGGACCGAGCCAAUUUUCACGGACAACGUGAAGGUGACCCGGAUUAGGAGCAACGAGAGUCCUGGACGACGUUUCGACGUCGGUGGCCACAGAGUGGAGUACGAGGCGAGCGAUGAAGCAGGUUGGUCGAGCAAGUGCGUGUUCACCGUGGUCCUUCGUCAGGAGUGAGGAGGAAAUUCGUCGACGAUCAGGUGAGCGCGAGAACAAGGAAGAAGGAAGAGGAACAACGGAGAGAAAGAAGGAAUCCAGAUCAAUCCACGAGGGUCUCGAUUUUCUCAUUACCACGAUCAUGAUCAACAUGCCACCUAGGAGACCUAGAAAUGUCGAGAAAAUACAUUCUCCGGCGCUACUUGUCACUUGGAGCGAAAUUACGAGCCAGUUGUUGCGUGACCAGCGUGCACGAUAUGCCAAGGACAAAAGGGAAAAAGGAAGAGGAAUGAAGGGCAAUGGUCCAUAGAUCUAUAGACGGUAAAAAAGUGGAAAUCUAUCGGGAAUUCUGUGCAAAUCUGAAAUCCAGCGCGCGUUGGUGGAACAAGUUUCGAUGAUUACCAGAUCUGGCUGAAAUCUGGCAUUGUAACGGAUGCGGAGAUUUAACGUUCGUUUCUUUUCACGGUACAACGAUCGCGAAUUUGUCGAACGAAACGAGAUUCGAUUCGGGUGGAACGAAUUCGAAUUGAUCCUCUCUUCCUCCUUCCUCGUCGCACUGUCGUGUUAAUCGUCGAUCGUCGAUUAAAAUUUUACCGGGGUGAACAAUGUCCGUGCCGGUUAAACGAAACUGGUCGCGAUUAAUUUCAAAAUUGGACGCUUCGUCGAAUGCAUUUUCACGCGGCUUGCAGCUGACAGGCCGGAACAACGAUAGUUUUAAUCCUGUCCGGCAGAGGGUGUUAAAGGACGGCCCCUCGGCAAUCGGCCACGAAAUGAAACGGAUUUAUGGAAAUUACAAAGUUUACGCUGUGUCAAAGCCCGUCGAGUCGAGUUAUGAGUUCCAUUGACCGAGAACCGCAAUUAAUGAAAAUCUUUUAAUUAGUCGUCGGUUAUGUUUUAUAUUUCGUACAGAAAUAUUUUUGAUCGUUGCGUUUUACAACUUAUUUUUGCGGACACAUCGUUUUGAAUUUUCAACAGAUUAUAUUUGCGUUUCAACUGCAGCUAUAUGGUUUAUUUUUAUCAUGAGAAUGUAAUUUUCAUUUGAAUACCUCGUUCAUUUAAUAAUAAGUCACGGAUUUAUUUGUAUCUUUUUUUGUUGUCAAGUUACAAAUGCAAUUUUUAAUUUUUUUGCACAAUUGAUUAAAUAUUUAUUAGUGAAUUUUGACAAACCACAAGUUGCCAGUGUUUUCUUGUAUGAUAGUAAUAAAAUGGAUAAUGUAAAAUAGAUAAAGUUCUUGCAAAUUGUAAAAUAGUUAAUAGUCUUGAUUCUAAAAUUAUGAAAUUAUAACAAUUGUUUGUGCAAAAGAUAGAAAACAAAGAUAAAAGAUUAUAAUCUACAACUUAUCGCUUGUCUAUUCACUAAUAAUAAUUAUUGAUAAAUUAUAGCGUGAGAUAUUUUCCAAAUAUAUCUACGUGUAAUUUACAUAUGUGUUUCAAUUAUACUUUAUACACAAAUUUUAAUUUUUUUAAUUAGGUUUAAAUGUUUGUUUUCAUUUUUGAAAGAGCGAAUCUUGAGUUUUUUAGGAGAUAAUUUUAUUUGUUACCUCGCAAACACAUUUUUACAGUAUUUUCAAAUUUAGCAUUUUUUAUUUAUUUUUUAUUUCCAAACGAAGUUUAACGUCAAAAUUAUAAAUGCAUAAGAUAAAUAUAAUCGCGAUUUUUCGUUAGCUUCUUUGAAUACGAACCGUCAUGAUUUUUGUCAAAAAAUUCUCGUGGGGACUCGUAUUUGCAUUUCUAUUUCUUUGUAUGAUUUUUUUUACUGGAACAUCGUAGUAGUAUUUUAUCAUAUGUUAUCACAUAAAUUACAUGUUAUAUAUUUUUUUAUAGAUUAAUACCAUAUUUUAAAUAGGUAUUAAUUGUUAAAAAAAAAUUUAAUCCUGUAGUAAAUAAUAAUGGUCAAUAAACACAU